GUUUCCUAUUAACCUGGGAUCUGAGCAACGCCCAUCACUUCAUCUAACACCUUGUGAGUGGUGGCCAGGGAUCUGAUGUUUUGUGAAACAAUGCUCCUCACAGCUGAUGAACCCGAAGGGAAAAUCUGCUGCUGGGACUCUUGGGAUCCCUCAUGGAAGAGCUAAAUCGGCUAUUUAGGACAGGAUUAGUUGCAUUGAUCUGGCUGUUUACAGAAGGAUUUGCAGGGCAUUGGAGUGUCUUUAAUUUAUGGAAUUGAUCCAAAACACCCAUCCAGCAGUGGUUUGCCAGGCCUACAGAGGUGGAGGUGACAAGAUCCCGUGCUGCUGUUGAACUGCUGCUGACAUCUUAAUUGUCUGAUAUUUUCCAGUGCCUUUAUUUUUUUUUUUUUUUUUUUUGGUUCGGGAGUAAGACCUGGUAGCUUUUUCACAUGUAUAAAACACACUUGUGAGCUUAAGCUGGUGCCUGCUCAGAUGCUCUUCUGGUGUUUCUGGUGGUUGUGUGCUCCAAGGGCACAAGCUAACUUGCAUUGCCGUUCUGCUGCUUUGAAUUAGAAGAGCGCAGAAUUUCCUGGGGUUGUGCUGUCUUCUGCAAGGACAAUCAAGAAAUCUGUAUUGGAAACAUGGUGGAGUUACUCCCUGGUGUUUCCUUGGAAAACUCUUACUCUCCUCCAGCCAUGAUUGAAUUCAUUGUAGAAAUAAAUGCAACAAAAUCCUUUUACAGAA
Molecule: non-coding RNA, 723 nt
Organism: Anas platyrhynchos (mallard)
Lineage: Eukaryota; Metazoa; Chordata; Aves; Anseriformes; Anatidae
Source: RefSeq, a predicted model, not a curated record